ACCAAAUGUUGACUUAAAACUGUGGAGUAAAGAUUAAGUGUGUGGUUACUCAUGUGAGUAUGCAAGGAAGAAGUGCAGUUUAUUAGGGAGAGUUGUUGUGGUUUGCCUUGAAAUUUUCUCUGAAUUUGUUAAAUAAAGGCAAGAGCGUGAGAUUUGGACAGAGGGAAAAGUCGGGAGCGAGAGGGGGAUUAGAAUCAGAGAAUAGGGUGAGAGAAGACAGUUGGUGACAGUUGAGCCAGUAGAACCUGAGGAAGGGGGAGGGGAUUGAAGAGUUGAGUGGAGAGAGAGUUGGGAGAGGAGUAAGGAAGAUAGGUGGAAAGGGAACUGUUGAGCAGACGAUGGGGAACUGAGAAAAGUUAGAGGAAUCAGGGGAGGAGAAAGAGAAGAAGCGAGGAGAGAGUCGUCGUGGCAGAAGAAGAAGCUGGAGACUUGGCAAAUAAAAGGUGCAAGGGAUGAGAGAUUUGGGAGCUAGGAAUAGGACAGUGUAGGGUAGAUCUGCCAAAUCUAGACGCUGGAUUAUUUUCACAUUAAUUGAGUUGUGUUUUCUUUGUACGGGCCGAUUCGGGUUGGAGAGGAAACUGCAACAGAGAGUUACCGAAAAUGAGAAUUGAGAAAAAUUGAAAGGUUAUGGGUGAAAGAAAGAAAACCAGAAGUGUGAGAAGAGUCUCCAAGAGAGAAAUAAAACUAUGUAGUUCCUUGUCCAGUGUUUGCUAUAGGCAAGAAUUUGACGAAGAUUGAUGUGAUUGCUAUGAGAUUGCUUAGUCCUCUGAGGUAUCAUAAGGCAAGCAAAGGAGGGCCCUAUGGGCGUAAUGAGCAUGUAAUAACUUAGAUUCAGCCUAAACUACAGGGAUGGUUAAGUGCCCUACUUGUUGAUUUUUGUUAUUUUCUCUUUUUUUUUUUCUGGAGCUGGGGACCGAACCCAGGUCCUUGUGCUUGCUAGGCAAGUGCUCUAGCACUGAGCUAAAUCCCCAACCCCUUGAUUUUUGAGUUGUGAGCUUUGUAGCUGCUGACCUUGACUCUCUGCUAGGCAUUAUCACUCAAUAAUCUUAAUCCUGUCACUCUUGCAUGUAUCUUAGUAACUUUUAACUGGACAAUAUUCUCUUUAUACUAUUAUUUAUAUGAUUAGAUUAUACAUCUAUUAUGACCUGGACUUGAUUCUAUCAGAGUCACGAAAAUGUAGUUGCAAUUUUUCUUGGUUGCUUCAUAUUUAGUUUCUUGUCCUCAGAGAGAUAUGGGGUGGUCUUCAAGAUGGUCACAUCUUGUUAGAGCCGAACCUUACUUAUAAUUUGUUCUGCUAAAAUUAUCUAUAUUAGUCAUAAAGAUAUAUGACAGGAUAAUAAUGCCUUACCUUUGACCCUUGAGAGCUUGUUGAAGAAGAAGAGGGAGACUACUGACCUUCUGUAACUGCCCCAGAGCCCUGCCCCUCCUCUUAUUUCUUUUCCUUCAUAUACUCUUCAGUUUUUGACAAAUUGGCACAACUAGAGUCACCUGGGAAGAGGAAAUCUCAAUUGAAUAAUUGCUUCAACAAGAUCGAUCUGCAGGCAUGUCUAUUGGACCUUUUCCCAGUCAUGGAUUAAUGUUGGGAGACAUAGCUUAUUGAGGGUGGCCAUCCCUCAGGAGGUGGGUCUGGGCUAUAUAAAAUGAAUGGAACUAGAAAAUAUCAUCCUGACUUAGGCAACUAGACCCAAAAGGACAUUCAUGUAUGUUCUCACUAAUAAGUAGAUAUGAGCCAAAAAAAAAUACAGACUACCCAAGAUACAGUCCACAGAACUCAAAAACGUCAACAAGCUGAAGGGCCCAAGGAUGGAAAUGGAGAAGAGCCUGAGUAAAAGAAGAUCCAGUGACAGGCCUGAAGUGGGAUUCAGCUCAAGGUUGCUUCUGGUCCUAGUGAUUAUAACAGCAACAGAAAAACAAACCAGAGUACUUGAAUAUUUCAUACCCAGCAACAAUAGCUUUUAUUCAAUUCCCUGUUGGGGGAAUUAAAGGAAGAAUCGAAAGAACUGAAGGGGCUUGCAACCCCAUAAGGACAACAAUGCCAACCAACAAAAGCUUCUAGGGACUAAACCACUACCCAGAAACUAUACAUGGACUGACCCAGGUCUCCAACUGCAUAUGUAGCAGAGGAUAGCCUUGUUGGGCACCAGUGGAAGGGGAAGCCCUUGAUCCUGCCAAGGUUGGACCCCCAGUGCAAGGGAACAUUGGGGGUGGUAUGGGGGUUGUAUGGGGUGGAACACCCUUAUAGGGGAGAGGGACAGGAUAGGGGGCUUAUGGACAGGAAACCAGGAAAGGGAAUAACAUUUGAAAUGUAAAUAAAGAAAUACAUCCAAUAAAAAUAGUAAAAAAUAAAGCAGAAUCAGAUGGGGCCACGCAUGUGUGUGUGUGUGUGUGUGUGUGUGUGUGUGUGUGUGUGUGUGUGUGUGUGUGCAUGCAGUUCGUGUUUGUAAAUAUCUCUAUUUGCAGCACAUGUAUUUUAAAGGUUGGAUAAUUAAAAAAAAGGAAUGUUGAAAGAUUUGUUCAUAGGCAUCCCUACAUAAGCAUUGCUAAGUGUCAGUAUAAAAUAGUCCCAGAUAAUAUUCACAGUUUUGUACUAUAAGUAAUUCCUCUAAUAAUUACAUUUUCCCUUCUUUCAAAAUUUUUAUUAUUUUAUAUAGAAGAAAAAGAAGUAAAAAGUCUGAGGCUAUUUAGACAACUGAAUUAGACUGUGCAUUUUGGAAAGAGCCUUUAGUUUAUACAAAGACACUAAAGAUUGAAAAAUAAUAGUCUGGAUCAGAUUCAGACACUUUAUGUGUAGGGCUUAGCAUCUCUCACCAGCUCCUGGAUGAACCUCUUCAUACAUGGACCAGUCCCUGAUUAGGCAUUUUAGUCUUUAACAGACUAUUAGACCUAGCUUGGAAGGAUGCUUCUUAAAGGACGAGUGAUCAUUUUCUACUCAGUAAUGUAAUAUGAAUGAAGUUUAUCUCCACUAUCAGUACUUUUGCACUCAACAGUUUAUUAUAUUAUAUAGAAAAGUUCAGGAGACAUUGUGGAAGAUUAAUUUGGAUGUAAUGCUUUAUCUAUAAAUCAAAAGUAGCAUGUGAAACAUAAUUCAUAAUUUAAUAAGAUCUACAUCACUGCAGUUUUUUUUAACUAGAGAUGUUUUGACAAAAGAAAAGUGUAAGCUUAGAUAUGUACAAAUAUGCAGGCACAGUGAUCAAUUUUAAUCCUUUUAGUUCCUGAUUUGGUCUUGCACAAUAAUAAGGAAGCAAAGUUGAAAGCCUGUGAAAGAGAUUAUUCUACCAGAGAGCUGGGUUUGCAGAGUGAAGUUGAAAUGCUUAGAAAAGAGACUUUCUUGAGCAUUUGAAGCAUUAGUCUGCCACUGUGUUUAUGCACCACUGGAUUUUCACUUGUCAGUAUAUCAGAAUUAAGGUUGAGCCAGAUAGAUUGUUAACAAUGUCAAAUUUGAUUGUUUCAAUAUGUGCUAAAUCAUGGCUGCCAGGGGUGGAUCUUGCUGACUUUUGCAUCUUCCUACACAAGUCUCAAAAGAAUGAUAGAUGGGCAUAUUCUUUUCAAAAUGUAAACUGAGAAUUUAUUUAGAAACAAGUGACACUUUCGUAGAUGUGUGUGAAAAUAUUCCACCUACUGGUGAGACCCAGGAAAAAUUUUUCUUUGAAUUUCAUCAUCACCAAAGCAUGUAUAGCACGCGUUCAGUGUGAUUUAUUUUUGACUUGAGCAAUAAUAUAUUUUCAAUAAAAACAUUUAUUGAUAAGUCAUUAAUCUAAACAUCCCUACGGUUGAGAAUAUUAAAACUAUGAAUCAUCUGAUAAGAGAAAAAUCAAUUUUAAAAAUAAAAUCAACUUACAAGAAAUCAUAGUGGCUGUUAAGAAACAAAACAUUCGUGAAUUCGCAUGUUUUCAGUUUUAAAAUACUAGCACUUUAAAAUGAACUUACAUUCAACUUGAUAGUUAAAGAAUAUAGUAAAAGAAGCAUUACUCAUAUGUUCAAAAUAUUUAUUAAAUACCUACUAUAUACCACAUGCUUUGAAAAGAGCUGACCAUAAACAUCUCCUCUACACACUUAUUAGUAUUCUUUAUUCAUGUAAGAUAAUUUCACUGAGGACAGAGGGGACAUGAAUAUAGCAAUAUGCAUUUGCUUAGAGUGGGAACAGAUGUUCCUGGCACUGUCCUCAGUUCUGUAUGACUGUUACUUCACAGCCGUCAUGGCUAUACUCUAUGGGUGUAAUUAGAAUGAUUCAAACUCUAGGAUGAAAUAACAAAAAUGUAACAUGAUUAACUUAAGAAUCAACAAGUAAAGGUAGGUAGAUAGAUUUGGUGAUAUAAACUGUUAAGUGUUAGCAUCAGUUUAAAUCUUUUCCUACAGAGCACUAAUGUAAGAUCAAAGUAGAAAUUUAUGAAAAUGUUAUUGUAUGUUUGGGUUAGGGAACAUAGUGCCUAGCACAUAAACAGUAUUGCCAGCACUGAAGUCUGGCUAAAUCCCCACCAUGUGUUUUUAAGACUUUUAAGUGAUUUUUGAUUUUUACUCUGUGUCUGUGCAUAUAUGCAAAUCUCUCUCUCUCUCUCUCUCUCUCUCUCUCUCUCUCUCUCUGUAUGUAUGUAUGUAUGUAUGUAUGUAUGUAUGUAUGUAUGUAUGUAUGUAUGUAGUGUA
Rattus norvegicus (Norway rat) is the source of this 4641-nucleotide non-coding RNA. The record is from RefSeq and is a predicted model, not a curated record. Lineage: Eukaryota; Metazoa; Chordata; Mammalia; Rodentia; Muridae.